GACGAACGCUGGCGGCGUGCCUAAUACAUGCCAGUUGAGCGCUGAAGGUUGGUACUUGUACCAACUGGAUGAGCAGCGAACGGGUGAGUAACGCGUGGGGAAUCUGCCUUUGAGCGGGGGACAACAUUUGGAAACGAAUGCUAAUACCGCAUAAAAACUUUAAACACAAGUUUUAAGUUUGAAAGAUGCAAUUGCAUCACUCAAAGAUGAUCCCGCGUUGUAUUAGCUAGUUGGUGAGGUAAAGGCUCACCAAGGCGAUGAUACAUAGCCGACCUGAGAGGGUGCUCGGCCUCAUUGGGCCGGAGACACGGCCCAAACUCCUACGGGAGGCAGCAGUAGGGGAUCUUCGGCAAUGGACGAAAGUCUGACCGAGCAACGCCGCGUGAGUGAAGAAGGUUUUCGUAUCGUAAAACUCUGUUGGUAGAGAAGAACGUUGGUGAGAGUGGAAAGCUCAUCAAGUGACGGUAACUACCCAGAAAGGGACGGCUAACUACGUG
This 497-nucleotide ribosomal RNA is filed under the name uncultured bacterium. RNAcentral describes it as "partial 16S ribosomal RNA". It matches the Rfam family "Bacterial small subunit ribosomal RNA", at positions 28 to 507 of the family's 1533-position model. The record is from RNAcentral.